Molecule: ribosomal RNA, 468 nt
Filed under: uncultured bacterium
Lineage: Bacteria
Description: partial 16S ribosomal RNA
Rfam family: Bacterial small subunit ribosomal RNA
Source: RNAcentral
GACGAACGCUGGCGGUGUGCUUAACACAUGCAAGUCGAACGGAAAGGCCCUGCUUUUGUGGUGUGCUCGAGUGGCGAACGGGUGAGUAACACGAGAGUAACCUGCCCUUCACUUUGGUAUAACUUCAGGAAACUGGGGCUAAUACCGUAUAGGAUCUCCUGCUGCAUUGAGGGGGUUGGAAAGUUUCGGCUGUUGGGGAUGGACUCGCGGCUUAUCGGCUUGUUGGUGGGGUAGUGGCUUACCAAGGCCUUGACGGGUAGCCGGCCUGAGAGGGUGAACGGCGACAUUGGGACUGAGAUACGGACCAGAGUCGAACGGGAGGCAGCAGUGGGGAAUAUUGCACAAUGGGCGGAAGCGUGAUGAAGCAACGCCGCGUGCGGGAUGACGGCCUUUGGGUAGUAAAAAGCAUUAGCCUGUGACGAAGCGUGAGUGACGGUAAUGAGUAAAGAAGCACCGGCUAACUACGUG